UUAACUUAUUAUAUUGUUCUCAGACGAUACAAAAUUCAGAGUUUAGGGUCCUCUGGCGGGCACUCACUAACGAAAAGCCAGUGGCCGAAGCGGCCCGCCAAAGCAACAAUGGUAAGAUAUUCAAGGGUGGGAGAUCUACCCCUAGGGGCAUGAACUCUGUAAUGAUCCUUCCGCAGGUUCACCUACGGAAA
This 191-nucleotide unclassified non-coding RNA is filed under the name uncultured fungus. RNAcentral's name for it is "sequence contains ITS1". The record is from RNAcentral. Lineage: Eukaryota; Fungi.